This 449-nucleotide ribosomal RNA is filed under the name uncultured bacterium. RNAcentral's name for it is "bacterial SSU rRNA". It matches the Rfam family "Bacterial small subunit ribosomal RNA", at positions 28 to 496 of the family's 1533-position model. The record is from RNAcentral.
GACGAACGCUGGCGGCGUGCUUAACACAUGCAAGUCGAGCGGUAAGGCCCUUUCGGGGGUACACGAGCGGCGAACGGGUGAGUAACACGUGGGUGACCUGCCUUUAGCUCUGGGAUAAGCCUGGGAAACCGGGUCUAAUACCGGAUACGACUCCGCGGCGCAUGUUGUGGGGUGGAAAGCCUUGUGCGGCUGGAGAUGGGCCCGCGGCCUAUCAGCUUGUUGGUGGGGUGAUGGCCUACCAAGGCGACGACGGGUAGCCGGCCUGAGAGGGCGACCGGCCACACUGGGACUGAGACACGGCCCAGACUCCUACGGGAGGCAGCAGUGGGGAAUAUUGGACAAUGGGCGAAAGCCUGAUCCAGCCAUGCCGCGUGAGUGAUGAAGGCCCUAGGGUUGUAAAGCUCUUUCGUCAGGGACGAUAAUGACGGUACCUGAAGAAGAAGCCCCGG